RNAcentral lists this ribosomal RNA (158 nucleotides) under uncultured bacterium. Its description in RNAcentral is "partial 16S ribosomal RNA". It matches the Rfam family "Bacterial small subunit ribosomal RNA", at positions 334 to 497 of the family's 1533-position model. The record is from RNAcentral.
UACUCUACGGAGGCAGCAGUGCGAAUAUUGGACAAUGGGCGCAACCAUGAUCCAGUCAUGCCGCGUGUGUGAAGAAGGCCCUAGGGUGUAAAGCACUUCAGUAGGAGGAAGGCUACGGGUAAUACCUGGAGUACUGACGUACUACAGAUAGACCGUAC